This is a long non-coding RNA of Dendrobium catenatum, 389 nucleotides long. RefSeq lists it as uncharacterized. The transcript is spliced from 2 exons. Lineage: Eukaryota; Viridiplantae; Streptophyta; Magnoliopsida; Asparagales; Orchidaceae. The record is from RefSeq and is a predicted model, not a curated record.
UGUAUAAAAAUCUGUAUUAUUAUUUUAGUUAAUAUAUAUGUGCUUAUGUAAGGAGGUGGCAUCUAUCCAUUGGUUAUUAUGUUUUGGGGCCACUCUUAUUCUUUAUAUAUACUAGGUGUUUCUCUCAAAUGGGUGAACAAGUGAAUGGCUCAAAUUCUUUCUUCUCUUUUUUGCAUAGUAUUCUUCUUUCUACUUCUUCCUUGUAUUCAAGAAUUUACUGCAAGACUAUCUUGUUUUUCAUGGUAUCAGAGAGGGUCUGACAGAUUGUUGUCAAAGGCAAACUCGGCUACAUCGCAGCUAGAUGCUGAUUAGGCUGGAGAUCCAAUCUCUAGAAAGUCUACAUCUGGCUAUUGCUCAUUUUUGAGAGACACAAUCAUAUUCUGGACGGU